Molecule: ribosomal RNA, 253 nt
Filed under: uncultured bacterium
Lineage: Bacteria
Description: partial 16S ribosomal RNA
Rfam family: Bacterial small subunit ribosomal RNA
Source: RNAcentral
UACGUAGGGGGCAAGCGUUGUCCGGAUUUAUUGGGCGUAAAGAGCGUGUAGGCGGCUGGGUAGGUCCGUUGUGAAAACUCGAGGCUCAACCUCGAGACGCCGAUGGAAACCCUCCAGCUAGAGUCCGGAAGAGGAGAGUGGAAUUCCUGGUGUAGCGGUGAAAUGCGCAGAUAUCAGGAGGAACACCGGUGGCGAAGGCGGGUCUCUGGGCCGAUACUGACGCUGAGAAGCGAAAGCGUGGGGAGCGAACAGG